Bufo bufo (common toad) is the source of this 214-nucleotide long non-coding RNA. RefSeq lists it as uncharacterized. The record is from RefSeq and is a predicted model, not a curated record. NCBI's taxonomy places the organism in Eukaryota, Metazoa, Chordata, Amphibia, Anura, Bufonidae. The transcript is spliced from 3 exons.
CGUCAUCGCAGGUCCUGCAGCCCCAGGAGGUGAGAUCUGCAGAUGAUGGUUCUUUCCAUCAGUGACCCACCAAGGAUGGAGAAGGACAGAGACCACAUGGCUGCGAGGAUAUUAGACCUCACCCUGGAGAUCAUCUCCUUGAUAACUGGAGAGGAUUACACAGUAGUGAAGAAGUCGUCUGGUGAGUGUGUGACACCCCGUGUGUCAGGAGGAU